This 199-nucleotide long non-coding RNA is filed under the name Nicotiana benthamiana. RNAcentral describes it as "long non-coding RNA (NBEN_LNC023719)". Lineage: Eukaryota; Viridiplantae; Streptophyta; Magnoliopsida; Solanales; Solanaceae. The record is from RNAcentral.
AGGAAUAUCCAUAGAGGAUUUGUGUUUUGGAGUGUGUCUCCCUUAUGGUAGAUAUUUAUGGUAGUUACUGUAUGAUAUUAUUGCAUGCUAUUUUAUUUAUGGUUCUUAUGUUUAGAUAAUUAUUUACGCUAUUUCUACUGGAGUUAAUAAUGCUCUUCUAUUUUUUGUUUUUGUUUAUCCUUUCCUUCUCUGAGCCGAG